GACGAACGCUGGCGGCGUGCUUAACACAUGCAAGUCGAACGGAAAGGCCCUGCUUUUGUGGGGUGCUCGAGUGGCGAACGGGUGAGUAACACGUGAGUAACCUGCCCUUGACUUUGGGAUAACUUCAGGAAACUGGGGCUAAUACCGGAUAGGAGCUCCUGCUGCAUGGUGGGGGUUGGAUAGUUUCGGCGGUUGGGGAUGGACUCGCGGCUUAUCAGCUUGUUGGUGGGGUAGUGGCUUACCAAGGCUUUGACGGGUAGCCGGCCUGUGAGGGUGACCGGCCACAUUGGGACUGAGAUACGGCCCAGACUCCAACGGGAGGCAGCAGUGGGGAAUAUUGCACAAUGGGCGGAAGCCUGAUGCAGCAACGCCGCGUGCGGGAUGACGGCCUUCGGGUUGUAAACCGCUUUCGCCUGUGACGAAGCGUGAGUGACGGUAAUGGGUAAAGAAGCACCGGCUAACUACGUG
RNAcentral lists this ribosomal RNA (468 nucleotides) under uncultured bacterium. RNAcentral describes it as "partial 16S ribosomal RNA". It matches the Rfam family "Bacterial small subunit ribosomal RNA", at positions 28 to 507 of the family's 1533-position model. The record is from RNAcentral.